GAGAGCGUAGCGCAAUUGGAUAGCGCGUCAGCUUGCGGAGCUGAAGGUUGCAGGUACUCUUCGAGAAGUCUGCGCCUACAAAUCCUGCCGUUCUCG
Molecule: transfer RNA, 96 nt
Filed under: cf. Phormidesmis sp. LEGE 11477
Lineage: Bacteria; Bacillati; Cyanobacteriota; Cyanophyceae; Leptolyngbyales; Leptolyngbyaceae
Rfam family: tRNA
About the family: Transfer RNA (tRNA) molecules are approximately 80 nucleotides in length. Their secondary structure includes four short double-helical elements and three loops (D, anti-codon, and T loops).
Source: Rfam by way of RNAcentral